Pongo pygmaeus (Bornean orangutan) is the source of this 856-nucleotide long non-coding RNA. RefSeq lists it as uncharacterized. NCBI's taxonomy places the organism in Eukaryota, Metazoa, Chordata, Mammalia, Primates, Hominidae. The transcript is spliced from 4 exons. The record is from RefSeq and is a predicted model, not a curated record.
CUCGGAGCAAAAGCAAUUCAAAACCACAGAACGUUCGCUGAGCUCCUAGCAGGGAAGGAAGCUGUGACCUUCAAGAAGUCUGAUUCCCCUUGCACUGUGGGUAACAGGAGAAGGAGGAGGCAUGGACACUGAAGAACAGCCUCGAGGACAACUGCACAGCCAGGUCUGGAGAGCGGCCGUGGGAGAAGCCUUGAGUGGGUUGAGAGCCCAGCAGCAACUCCGUGGAGGCUAUCACAAGAAUAUCAGAGAAGCGAGGAGGGCUGCUGGUGACUCAGACCCGGUGUGGCUGGGCCUGGUUCUGAAGGAGCUCCUGAGAGCCUGAGUAGAUGCUCAACAAACAUGUGCCGAGUUGAACCUCAGCCAAGCUUGGAGGCAGAAGGAUGGACAGGAUGACUUGGUUGCAGGAGGGCUCUGUCCUGGACCCGGGAUGCCUGUGCACCUCCACCCCAGACUGAGGCAGAGGAACCCUCUACACCUGGAGACAGAAGCUUCUAGAAUCCACGUGGGAGGAAACUGAGGGACUAGACCACAUAGGUCAGCGGCUGAUGGUCUUGACCAUGCAGAGAAACCAAGUGAGUCAACCCGAGGAAGCGAAUAUUGCUCAGAAACCCGAGAGAGCCUGUGAUACCUUCUUUGAAACGUGUUCCUAUGUAAAUCUCCCUUCCUGUCCCUGUUGGAGGACACAAUUGACCUUUUAAAAAGAAGCCCGUCGCCAGGCAUGGUGGUAUGCGCCUGUGGUCCCAGCUACUCUGGAGGCUGAGGCAGAAGGAUCGCUUGAGCCCAGGAGUUUGAGGCUGCAGGGAGCUAUGAUUGCAUCACUGCACUCCAGCCUGAGUGACAGAACAAGAUCCCAUUU